This 270-nucleotide ribosomal RNA is filed under the name uncultured bacterium. RNAcentral describes it as "partial 16S ribosomal RNA". It matches the Rfam family "Bacterial small subunit ribosomal RNA", at positions 793 to 1055 of the family's 1533-position model. The record is from RNAcentral.
GUCCACGCCCUAAACGAUGCACACUAGACCGAUGCGGCUCUGACGUCGUAUUGGUCGUAGAGAAAUUGAUAAGUGUGCCGCCUUGGGAGUACGGUCGCAAGGCUAAAACUCAAAGAAAUUGACGGGGGCUCACACAAGCGGUGGAGCAUGUUGCUUAAUUCGAAGCAACGCGAAGAACCUUACCCGGGUUUGACAUGUACGGAUUAGUAUCUGGAAACAGGUAUGAGGCCCGCAAGGGUACAACGUGCACAGGUGCUGCAUGGCUGUCGU